This 476-nucleotide ribosomal RNA is filed under the name Arantia fasciata. RNAcentral's name for it is "partial large subunit ribosomal RNA". It matches the Rfam family "Bacterial large subunit ribosomal RNA", at positions 1922 to 2608 of the family's 2925-position model. Lineage: Eukaryota; Metazoa; Arthropoda; Insecta; Orthoptera; Tettigoniidae. The record is from RNAcentral.
GUUAAAGGGCCGCGGUAUUAUGACCGUGCGAAGGUAGCAUAAUCAUUAGUCUUUUAAUUAAGGGCUGGAAUGAAUGGUUUGACGAAGUGAUAUCUGUCUUAUUAUAAUAAGUGGAAAUUAUCUUUUGAGUUAAAAGACUUAAAUAUAAGUGGAGGACGAGAAGACCCUAUAGAGCUUGAAUAUUUAUUAUUGAUUUUUUUAUUGGACGUGUAAUUAAAUUUUUAUAAAUAAGUAUUAUGUUGGGGUGACAGAAAGAUAGAAUAAACUCUUUUAUAAGAAUAAACAUUGAUUUAUGGUUAUUUGAUCCAUUUUUAGUGAUUAUUAGAAUAAGUUACCUUAGGGAUAACAGCGUAAUUUUCUUUGAGAGUUCUUAUCGACAAGGAAGAUUGCGACCUCGAUGUUGGAUUAAGGAGACUAUUAGGCGCAACAGUUAAGAAAGUAGGUCUGUUCGACCUUUAAAUCCUUACAUGAUCUGA